GAUCCGCUNAGGAGUGUNACGACUCACCUGCCNAAUCGAUCUGCCCUGAAAAUGGAUGGCGCNUAAAGCGUCGGGCCGAUGCCGGACCGUCGUCGCAAACGAAUCGCNNNAAAAAGAUGACUUCGAANNAAAAAACGAAGUUCCUNAAACCGAGGAACCAGGCGUCGACGANUAGGAGGGCGCCGCGGUGCGCUUAGAAACCAUUCGGGCGCGAGUCUGGGCGGAGCC
This 228-nucleotide ribosomal RNA is filed under the name Nautilus macromphalus (bellybutton nautilus). Its description in RNAcentral is "partial 28S ribosomal RNA". It matches the Rfam family "Eukaryotic large subunit ribosomal RNA", at positions 1265 to 1434 of the family's 3401-position model. The record is from RNAcentral. Lineage: Eukaryota; Metazoa; Mollusca; Cephalopoda; Nautilida; Nautilidae.